RNAcentral lists this ribosomal RNA (660 nucleotides) under Bacillus sp. CU25. RNAcentral's name for it is "bacterial SSU rRNA". It matches the Rfam family "Bacterial small subunit ribosomal RNA", at positions 380 to 1032 of the family's 1533-position model. Lineage: Bacteria; Bacillati; Bacillota; Bacilli; Caryophanales; Bacillaceae. The record is from RNAcentral.
AGUCUGACGGAGCACGCCGCGUGAGUGAUGAAGGUUUUCGGAUCGUAAAGCUCUGUUGUUAGGGAAGAACAAGUGCAAGAGUAACUGCUUGCACCUUGACGGUACCUAACCAGAAAGCCACGGCUAACUACGUGCCAGCAGCCGCGGUAAUACGUAGGUGGCAAGCGUUGUCCGGAAUUAUUGGGCGUAAAGGGCUCGCAGGCGGUUUCUUAAGUCUGAUGUGAAAGCCCCCGGCUCAACCGGGGAGGGUCAUUGGAAACUGGGAAACUUGAGUGCAGAAGAGGAGAGUGGAAUUCCACGUGUAGCGGUGAAAUGCGUAGAGAUGUGGAGGAACACCAGUGGCGAAGGCGACUCUCUGGUCUGUAACUGACGCUGAGGAGCGAAAGCGUGGGGAGCGAACAGGAUUAGAUACCCUGGUAGUCCACGCCGUAAACGAUGAGUGCUAAGUGUUAGGGGGUUUCCGCCCCUUAGUGCUGCAGCUAACGCAUUAAGCACUCCGCCUGGGGAGUACGGUCGCAAGACUGAAACUCAAAGGAAUUGACGGGGGCCCGCACAAGCGGUGGAGCAUGUGGUUUAAUUCGAAGCAACGCGAAGAACCUUACCAGGUCUUGACAUCCUCUGACAACCCUAGAGAUAGGGCUUUCCCUUCGGGGACAGAGU